This 273-nucleotide ribosomal RNA is filed under the name uncultured bacterium. Its description in RNAcentral is "partial 16S ribosomal RNA". It matches the Rfam family "Bacterial small subunit ribosomal RNA", at positions 337 to 602 of the family's 1533-position model. The record is from RNAcentral.
ACCUACGGGGGGCAGCAGUAGGGAAUCUUCCACAAUGGACGAAAGUCUGAUGGAGCAACGCCGCGUGAGUGAAGAAGGGUUUCGGCUCGUAAAGCUCUGUUGGUAGUGGAGAAAGAUAGAGGUAGUAACUGGCCUUUAUUUGACGGUAAUUACUUAGAAAGUCACGGCUAACUACGUGCCAGCAGCCGCGGUAAUACGUAGGGGGCAAGCGUUGUCCGGAUUUAUUGGGCGUAAAGCGAGUGCAGGCGGUUCACUAAGUCUUAUGUUAAAGCC